CUGGGUUCAGAACGUCGUGAGACAGUUCGGUCCCUAUCCGUCGUGGGCGUAGGAAAUUUGAGAGGAGCUGUCCUUAGUACGAGAGGACCGGGAUGGACGCACCGCUGGUGUACCAGUUGUUCUGCCAAGGGCAUAGCUGGGUAGCUAUGUGCGGAAGGGAUAAGUGCUGAAAGCAUCUAAGCAUGAAGCCCCCCUCAAGAUGAGAUUUCCCAUAGCGUAAGCUAGUAAGAUCCCUGAAAGAUGAUCAGGUUGAUAGGUUCGAGGUGGAAGCAUGGUGACAUGUGGAGCUGACGAAUACUAAUAGAUCGAGGACUUAACCAUAUAA
RNAcentral lists this ribosomal RNA (325 nucleotides) under Bacillus cereus. RNAcentral describes it as "bacterial LSU rRNA". It matches the Rfam family "Bacterial large subunit ribosomal RNA", at positions 2605 to 2925 of the family's 2925-position model. Lineage: Bacteria; Bacillati; Bacillota; Bacilli; Caryophanales; Bacillaceae. The record is from RNAcentral.